RNAcentral lists this unclassified non-coding RNA (337 nucleotides) under soil metagenome. RNAcentral describes it as "partial contains 5.8S ribosomal RNA, internal transcribed spacer 2, and large subunit ribosomal RNA". The stretch from base 1 to 120 matches the Rfam family "5.8S ribosomal RNA", at positions 35 to 154 of the family's 154-position model. The record is from RNAcentral.
GAUGAAGAACGCAGCGAAAUGCGAUAAGUAGUGUGAAUUGCAGAAUUCAGUGAAUCAUCGAAUCUUUGAACGCACAUUGCGCCCCUUGGUAUUCCAUGGGGCAUGCCUGUUCGAGCGUCAUUUGUACCUUCAAGCUCUGCUUGGUGUUGGGUGUUUGUCUCGCCUCUGCGUGUAGACUCGCCUCAAAACAAUUGGCAGCCGGCGUAUUGAUUUCGGAGCGCAGUACAUCUCGCGCUUUGCACUCAUAACGACGACGUCCAAAAGUACAUUUUUACACUCUUGACCUCGGAUCAGGUAGGGAUACCCGCUGAACUUAAGAAUAUCAAUAAGCGGAGGA